GUUCCCCAGGGACUGAAGGAGCUAGUACGAAACAGCCUUUCAUGGAAUGAAAGUCCAAGAAAGCUACACAAUUGCAGGAGUCUUAGAGUCGACUGCAAAAGGAGAGUGGCACUCAGCUAAUUAAGUGCUGAAGGCGGCAGAGCCGUUCCUGACUUUGUGGCCCUGUGGUCUUGGCAAGCAGGGUUGGAGUUCAAGCCCUCCUCAUCCCGACAACUUUGCCAUCAGUCCCCGCUGCAGAGCUGCCAGUCGGCGCUUCCAGGGAGUAUCCGAACUCUGCCUUGAGACAGUGAAGAAGAAUCACGGCCAGCUCACCCGCCUCUACAGUAGAAGCUCUCAUUCAAGGUGUGAACUUUCUCACAGUCUCAGAGGUGUCCUGUUAUUUACAAAAUAAUCCAAGAAAAUCCAUCCAAGGCUAAUGUAGAAGUAAAGCAUCAAGGUUUCCAGUCCUACUCAAAUGUCCGAUGAUCCUAAUGAAGAAAGGAUGGGUGGCAAGGGGAAGAGCUGAUACUCUUCCUGGGUUGUCCCUGAAUCUUGAAGAGGCAGGAGAGGUAUACUAAUUUAAAUAGCAUUCUUCAAUGGGAGCUCAU
This 587-nucleotide long non-coding RNA is filed under the name Capra hircus (goat). RNAcentral's name for it is "lncRNA (ENSCHIG00000001060.1)". Lineage: Eukaryota; Metazoa; Chordata; Mammalia; Artiodactyla; Bovidae. The record is from RNAcentral.